AUCAUAUGCUGGCUGUCCAGGUGUGUAAAAUACACCUGUUAGCAAGGGCCGGGCAAGACCGGUGCCAGCCGCCGCGGUAACACCGGCGGCCCGAGUGGUGAUCGUGAUUAUUGGGUCUAAAGGGUCCGUAGCCGGUUUGGUCAGUCCUCCGGGAAAUCUGACAGCUCAACUGUUAGGCUUUCGGGGGAUACUGCCAGACUUGGAACCGGGAGAGGUAAGAGGUACUACAGGGGUAGGAGUGAAAUCUUGUAAUCCCUGUGGGACCACCUGUGGCGAAGGCGUCUUACCAGAACGGGUUCGACGGUGAGGGACGAAAGCUGGGGGCACGAACCGGAUUAGAUACCCGGGUAGUCCCAGCCGUAAACGAUGCUCGCUAGGUGUCAGGCAUGGCGCGACCGUGUCUGGUGCCGCAGGGAAGCCGUGAAGCGAGCCACCUGGGAAGUACGGCCGCAAGGCUGAAACUUA
This 465-nucleotide ribosomal RNA is filed under the name uncultured bacterium. Its description in RNAcentral is "bacterial SSU rRNA". It matches the Rfam family "Archaeal small subunit ribosomal RNA", at positions 395 to 858 of the family's 1478-position model. The record is from RNAcentral.